This is a long non-coding RNA of Ficedula albicollis (Collared flycatcher), 2301 nucleotides long. NCBI's taxonomy places the organism in Eukaryota, Metazoa, Chordata, Aves, Passeriformes, Muscicapidae. The record is from Ensembl.
UAAGGAUAGUGCAGAAGGCAGUCUUUCCCAAUGAAUUACAGCUGUACUGAUAACUGAGGAGUGGAGACAGCCUUGCCUGUCCAAUGAGGAUGGGUGUUAUAAAAGAGUGGGCUGGCUAACUGAGAAUAAGUUGUAGUUACAGCUGGAGUUGGAGUCCUAGGGUCUGCUGCAGUUUGGGAUGGAGGCUCCUGGCUGUGCUGUGAGGAGGAUAGAAGGACAGGAGCGACCAUCCAUCAAGGCACAUUGUCACCAGCCCAGCAGGCAGCAAGCCCCAAGUUGGAGGGGACAAGCUCUCACAAGCCCACAUUUUUGGGCCUGGUUCCUGUUUCAUGUGGCAGCAGGUUGGCCUCGACCCGGUGCCUGCCCCAACAGAGCAGGACACGGCAGCUUGAAAGGGACUGUCAGGAGAGGAACAGCUGAGAGCCACACCGACCCCGGCGCGUGUAUAAAUAGAGACAGAGCUGUUAUCCUGAUGAAAUGAGACCAGAUGUUUCUCCCAAAUCCCUCCUCUCUGCUAGUGAAAAUUAUAGUUUAGUUACAGCAGGGCAAAGCGGGCAGCAAAAUAUUUAAGACCAACUAAUGUUGGGAAGUCAAAGGGGCAAAAUGACUUACUGGGGUAGGGGUAUCAUGCCCUGUGAUGCUGCAGGGAUGGAUAGAGCAUGGUCAGAGUGGGAACCAGAGGAGUCCCUCACUGCUUUUGUUCUGUUUUUCUGCUUCCUACCCCAGUAUUAAUGGGCUGAGUUUUAAAGCCCAUGCUGUGGCCGCUUUUGUGAGGUAGAAAUUCAGAGUCAGCACAUGUAUCCUGGAGGCAGUUGGCACGAGAUGAAGGAGGGACGGCAGCAGCAGUUAAAACUGGGUCUUGGCUCUUUAAUAUUUAACUUUCUCCAGUGCUUGGGGUUUUUAUUAAUCAGUUUGUGCAUUAUCUGCCAUCCCCAUUCAAAGAGGGUUUUAGCACAGAGAUUUCAGUGCUUAAUCCCAGAGGCAGGGAGAGUGGAAGAGUCUCUCUGAAGGUUCCAGUGCUCAAUCUGGCCUCAAUUACACCAGCCUAAAUCAGCAAAGAGCAGCCACGACGGACUUUGCCGUGACUGCAUUGGGCUGAAGGUAACGAAGUUAGGGGUCAGUCCUGUAUCUCUCCAGGAGAUACCUCUGGUCCCUAAGGCUCCAGCCAUAAGGGAGUUCCCAGGAGGAGAACCCUGCUGUCAGACUGGCUCAGAAUAAACUUCUACCUUGGGCAACAACUGGGGCUUGGCUGUGGCCAGCUGCAGACGCUUAGGAAGGGAUAUCGGAAGAGAGAGAGUAUAAAGGGAUCCUUCCUCUGGCAUUUCCUCCCGGCUCCUAGCAAUCAGCAGUUGAGGGACUUCCUAAACGGAGGUUGCAUGAAUUUGUGUAAUCCCUUUUGGUUUUUUUUCUCAUUCAUUUAUACUUUUGGCCUCCAUGACAUCCUGUGACAAUAAGUUCCACAAUGUAAUUAUGUGUUGUGUGAAAAAGUACUUCCUUUUGUCUGCUUCAGACCUGGCUCCUGAACAUUUCUCUCCAUGUUCUUGUGUUAGAAGAAAAGGGAAAAAGAAUUCCAGGUCCAUACCAGACCGCUCUUGACCUCUUCAGACUCCUCUGUCUUUAUUUGGCCCCAAGGUUUUGUUCUUCCAAACUAGAGCCUCCUUGUUUUUCUAGUCUUUCCUCCUCACAUGGUAUCUAUCCCAUCACUUCCACUGUCCUUGCCGCCCUCCUCCAUGUCUCUUCUCAUUUUCUUAUUGCCUUUUUUCUUUUUGAGAUACGAUCACUGAAGUGAGACUUGCUCACUUCUGAAGACAUGAAUUCAUUCUCCUGGAAGAAGGUCAGCUCAAAAGCUUUCUUUUCUCAAGUCAUAUUGGUGUACUUUGAUUUCUUCUACAACACAUAAAGCAGUCUUGGGCUUAAUGAAAAUAUACACACGGCUCUCUUCAAAUACUUGGGUUUAACGUAUUCUGAGCAAACCCCCAGCCCUAAUUUAACUAUUGUCUGUAGGUUAAAAUGACAUCCACAAGUAGAUUAACUAAUGGGGCUGGUUUACAUGAAGGGAAUUUCAUGCAUGUGCUUAUAUUACUGCUCAUUUAUGCCUUCACAAAUGCCCUGAGCACUACUGGUGGAGAAGACCCCCAGCCAGAACAGCUGAACUGGUGAGCAUGAAACGUGGGAUUCUCUGAUUUCCAGGACAUCUUUAUUUAUAAAAGAUGUCUAUUUUUGCUCCUGUCAUGCCCGCAAAACCAGCCUUCCUCUUUUAGUUAUCCCUGCUCUUUAUUAUUGUUUAUGUUGUCUUGAACC